RNAcentral lists this long non-coding RNA (2161 nucleotides) under Olea europaea subsp. europaea. The record is from RNAcentral. Lineage: Eukaryota; Viridiplantae; Streptophyta; Magnoliopsida; Lamiales; Oleaceae.
CAACAGAAAACCCUCCAAAUCCCCUCAAGUACAGGAUCGAGACUUUAGAACUAAACAUUUUAAUGAAANNNNNNNNNNNNNNNNNNNNNNNNNNNNNNNNGAGAGAAUAGUUCUGCAGUUUGCAUUCUUGAAAAGGAGAAGUCGCACAACGAAAGGUGUGGGGACCAAUUCUGUAUUAGUUUUGUUUUUUUGAGCAUUGAAACCUGAUACAUUGUUGAGUUUGAUGACUAAAUACUGAUUCUUAUUUUAUGUUCCAUUAUUGCAAACAAAAUUUGAUUUAGUAAUUUCAAUUGUCACUUUUAUACACCUCUUCCAAUGUUGGGAUUUUGCUUAUUAAAAAUAUCUAGUUGGGGUUUCAUCAGAAUUUAAGAUUUUGCUUUAAAAAAAUUGCAAUUCAUCAGGUACAAAAUUGAAUAAACUGUCUCUGAUGGAAAUGUAAAAUCAUCCCUCUUAUGUGAAAAUUUCUUAAAAUCUCCCUGAUGGGCUACAAUGAAUUCAUUCCUGCCUCCUGCCACUAUUAUAACUAUCUUUUGUUUUGCACUCUGCAAUUUUAUAUUCCUAAUUUUUGACAAUUUGUGAUUUAGUGAAAUUUGCUGUCCUCGUAGUAAUUAUGAUUGUACUUUAAUCUUGAGAUUAUGUUUAAGGACUGUGUAUCGAGGAGUUCAUUUUCGCAUAAGGCUAUGGUUAUUAAAAUGUUCUUAAGAGUGGUUUGCAGCAUUUUAAUAAUCUUUUUUUUUUCCCCUUAUAUUUCUUUUGUGGUUUGAGGAAUUUCAUACAGAUAUAUUUUGCAGGAAUUGAGCUUUUGGCUCACUAAUAAUCUUUUUGCCAGGCAGAAAUUGCAAUUUCAAGCAUAAAAAACGAAUUGUAUUCUCUUUAGGCUUUAAGUUUGAUUUCUUAUCCUUGGUUUUCUUUAUCUAUGAGUGCUCUAUGCUAGUCAUUGUUCGGAGGCUUCAUUGCUUCCAAAGCUUUCAAGCUUCAUCCUGGGAUGGAUUUUUCAUCCCGUUUCAAUUCAAAUCCGUUGAUUUCCAUAGGAGAAAAAAAAGUGGGAUUUUGAAGAAUUUUCUUGGGUAAAUAUGUGAAAUCCAUAUUAAAUCAAUCAAAUCCAAGCAGUUGCAACGAUUUUAUGCUUGGAUUUAAACCUAGAAUCCAUAUCCUCGACCAUUUUCUCAUAAAACUAAGGGAAAAAUUUACUCUCCCCCUCUAUCAAAAGGGAAAAAUAAAUUUAUUAAUAGAGAUCUUUAUGCCAUUGUCAUAUUUUUUAGUCUUAUACUUUUCUCUUUUAGAUAUUAUGAAAAAGGACAGAGGCCGUAAGCUUUAUGGGAAUCAUGUUAGAACGAGAGCUUGUGAUUCUGAUGGUGAAAGCUGUGAAAGCAAUGAUGUAAUUGAUGAGCAUGCAUUUGAUGAAGAAAAAGCAUAUAAAGCCCUUACAUGGUUCUUAUGCAAUGCCAGUGUGCCACCUUGCUCAGUUAAAGAAGAGUCUUUCAAACACUAUGUGAAGUCAGUUAACCCAUGUUUCAAUGUUGAAUAUGACACUGUUAUACAUCAGUGCUUGGAUUUUCACAAGGAAGAGAAAGUGAAAUUGAAAGAGAUUUUGAGAAGUUUCGAUGGACGAAUUAGCCUCUCAGUGGAUAUUAUGAGACACGACAAGUAUGGUGUCUGUGAUCAAGAUUCCAAUUUACCUGAUAGCCAGACAAACCUUGAUUAUCUGUGUGUAAAGGCUCAUUUUAUUGGUGAAGAUUGGAAACUGAAAAGUUAUAUUCUCAGCUUUUCACCUACCUUGGAUGGUACUCCAGAAAAUCUUCCUGAAAAUGUUAUACUGAAAUUUCUUUCUGAUUUGGAAAUUGAGGAUAAGGUAUUUACUCUCACAUCUGCAACUGCUAUAGUGAACCUUUAUGAGAAUGCUGUGAUAGUCAGAAAUAAAUUACAGGAGACAAGAAGGAUCCCACUUGAUGGUCGGUUAUUUCACUUGGGUUGUUGUGCUGACAUUUUGCGUUCUGUAGUGGCAGAGGCAUUUCAGAAAAUUGAAUAUAUUAUCCGUAAAGUUCGCCAGAUGGUCUUCUGGGGAAACUCGUCAUUACUGUGGAAUAUGACAUUACACAAGCUGCAAGAGGCACUGGAGUUGGAGGCUAAAGGACAGUAUUCAGAAACGGAUUAUUGCAAG